Molecule: ribosomal RNA, 550 nt
Filed under: uncultured bacterium
Lineage: Bacteria
Description: bacterial SSU rRNA
Rfam family: Bacterial small subunit ribosomal RNA
Source: RNAcentral
UAGGGAAUCUUCCGCAAUGGGCGAAAGCCUGACGGAGCAACGCCGCGUGAGUGAUGAAGGUCUUCGGAUCGUAAAACUCUGUUAUUAGGGAAGAACAUAUGUGUAAGUAACUGUGCACAUCUUGACGGUGCCUAAUCAGAAAGCCACGGCUAACUACGUGCCAGCAGCCGCGGUAAUACGUAGGUGGCAAGCGUUAUCCGGAAUUAUUGGGCGUAAAGCGCGCGUAGGCGGUUUUUUAAGUCUGAUGUGAAAGCCCACGGCUCAACCGUGGAGGGUCAUUGGAAACUGGAAAACUUGAGUGCAGAAGAGGAAAGUGGAAUUCCAUGUGUAGCGGUGAAAUGCGCAGAGAUAUGGAGGAACACCAGUGGCGAAGGCGACUUUCUGGUCUGUAACUGACGCUGAUGUGCGAAAGCGUGGGGAUCAAACAGGAUUAGAUACCCUGGUAGUCCACGCCGUAAACGAUGAGUGCUAAGUGUUAGGGGGUUUCCGCCCCUUAGUGCUGCAGCUAACGCAUUAAGCACUCCGCCUGGGGAGUACGACCGCAAGGUUG